This 401-nucleotide ribosomal RNA is filed under the name uncultured soil bacterium. RNAcentral's name for it is "bacterial SSU rRNA". It matches the Rfam family "Bacterial small subunit ribosomal RNA", at positions 26 to 430 of the family's 1533-position model. The record is from RNAcentral.
AGAUUGAACGCUGGCGGCAUGCCUUACACAUGCAAGUCGAACGGCAGCACGGGAGCAAUCCUGGUGGCGAGUGGCGAACGGGUGAGUAAUAUAUCGGAACGUGCCCAGUAGCGGGGGAUAACUACGCGAAAGCGUGGCUAAUACCGCAUACGCCCUACGGGGGAAAGGGGGGAUUCUUCGGAACCUCUCACUAUUGGAGCGGCCGAUAUCAGAUUAGCUAGUUGGUGAGGUAAAGGCUCACCAAGGCGACGAUCUGUAGCUGGUUUGAGAGACGACCAGCCACACUGGGACUGAGACACGGCCCAGACUCCUACGGGAGCAGCAGUGGGGAAUUUGGACAAGUGGGGGAAACCUGAUCCAGCCAUCCCGCGUGUCGCGAUGAAGGCCGUUCGGUUGUAAGA